RNAcentral lists this microRNA precursor (76 nucleotides) under Mustela putorius furo (domestic ferret). RNAcentral's name for it is "miRNA (ENSMPUG00000023792.1)". Lineage: Eukaryota; Metazoa; Chordata; Mammalia; Carnivora; Mustelidae. The record is from RNAcentral.
GUGGGCGGGUGGGUCAGGGCCUGGGGACGGAGAGGGGCCCCUCAGGGCUCAGGGAUUGGAUGGAGGGGACUGGGGG